Molecule: transfer RNA, 78 nt
Filed under: Acidobacteriota bacterium
Lineage: Bacteria; Pseudomonadati; Acidobacteriota
Description: tRNA-Pro
Rfam family: tRNA
About the family: Transfer RNA (tRNA) molecules are approximately 80 nucleotides in length.
Source: RNAcentral
CGGGCCGUGGCGCAGCCUGGCUAGCGCGCUUCCUUGGGGUGGAAGAGGUCCCGGGUUCAAAUCCCGGCGGCCCGACCA